GGGCCCGUAGCGCAGCCUGGAUCAGCGCGGCGGCCUGCGGAGCCGUAGUCGGCGUAGCCGGCGGAUGUCGCGGGUUCAAAUCCCGCCGGGCCCG
This 94-nucleotide transfer RNA is filed under the name Thermoproteus sp. CP80. RNAcentral's name for it is "tRNA-Arg". It matches the Rfam family "tRNA". Rfam says of the family: Transfer RNA (tRNA) molecules are approximately 80 nucleotides in length. RNAcentral also lists the same sequence under 1 other name. Lineage: Archaea; Thermoproteati; Thermoproteota; Thermoprotei; Thermoproteales; Thermoproteaceae. The record is from RNAcentral.